Long non-coding RNA from Canis lupus familiaris (dog), 953 nucleotides. RefSeq lists it as uncharacterized. The transcript has 3 exons. The record is from RefSeq and is a predicted model, not a curated record. NCBI's taxonomy places the organism in Eukaryota, Metazoa, Chordata, Mammalia, Carnivora, Canidae.
AGAUAAGGAAAUGAUGGUGGCACAGUGUGAGCAGAUGUAGCAUAUACCUGUCGCCUAGUCUGGAGUUUCAGAAAGCCUUCUGGAAGGAAGUAACAUCUCAGCAGAGUGCAGAAGGAUGGAAGGAAGGGCAUUUCAGAGACAGGAAUGAACACAUACAAAUGCCCUGAGGCAGGAGCCCUGUCUCAUCAAAGCCAGUGUGACCCAAGCACCCAGUGAAGAACAUGAGGUGGAGAUGAUAUUGGCGAUGUCGACACCGAUGAGACCACACAGGGCCUGCAGGACAUGAGAGGGAUGCGCUGGUAGUAUGUGUUAAGGUUAAAGAAAGAGAUUGGAGCAGAGUAGGGGUGGCCCAGUGAAAUCUGACCGGACGUGUGUUUUUAAAAGCCCACGAUGUGAAGGAUGACUCUAAGGAGCACAAAUCGCUAAAAAAAACAGCUCUGACUCUGGGACCAGAAUUCAGUAAGCAUCUCUUAGUGCAAAGUGUACAAACAGCACAAGGACACAAAGAUUUAAGAGGACAAGUGCUUGCCAAGGUCACAGGAAGCAGAAGACCAAAACACAGAAGCUGCCAAAUCCCAGACUGGUCCUGCCUGGAAAGCAUGGCUUCAGAUGAGUUCCAUCACUUCUAGCCAGUGUGGCCAGCUUGGAACUCACUGAAUUGUUGAGACUCAGGUUCCUGGAUGUAACAUCUGGAAGAGAAGGCCACCUUCCUAGGCUGUUGUGAGAAUCAAAUGAAGUAAUGUCUGUAAGAGUACGUGCUCACCAAAUGUCAGCGCCUCUUUCUUACCCAUCUUUACCUCUGACCAUUUACAUGUGGAACUACAAGGUCUGCAUUCCCUGAGCACAAGGCAGACAACAAGAGGGGCAGUGGCUCAGGAGUCUCCUUGCCAUUCAAUUGAAAGGAAAAAAGCCCUUCCCUAAAUCGUCAAUAAAGACACUGAAACAGGGGCACC